CCUCUGUUUGAUAACACCUUGUGUGUCAUGAUGUCAUCAUGGCAGCCUGUGCUGAUUGCUGUGGGCGUGGCUCAGCUGGCAGGUGGCUCCAGGUGAAGCUCAUUCCCUCAACCUCCUGCAGUAUUUAAGGCUGGCUCUGUGAUCCACUUGUCGCCAGAUCGUACAGUCUACAAGCGUGGUUGCAGUCUGCCUUGCUCGUUCGUUUGCCUGCCUGCUUGCUCCUCACACCUGCCCUUCUCUCUCUAUGGAUUGGACUCAAUUGUUUGGACUCUGGAGGAGGCCUACCACAUGGUCACGCCCACCACGUCACGGGGCACGCUCUGGAGAGCACAUAGCACCCACCACUCACCACUGGAUUCCCUCGACACAACUUCCCCUUUUUUGCCACCAGCACGUUUAUUGUAUAUAUUUCACGCAUUAAAACAUUUACCUUU
Perca fluviatilis (European perch) is the source of this 434-nucleotide long non-coding RNA. RefSeq lists it as uncharacterized. NCBI's taxonomy places the organism in Eukaryota, Metazoa, Chordata, Actinopteri, Perciformes, Percidae. The record is from RefSeq and is a predicted model, not a curated record. The transcript has 2 exons.